RNAcentral lists this long non-coding RNA (339 nucleotides) under Nicotiana benthamiana. RNAcentral's name for it is "long non-coding RNA (NBEN_LNC019107)". Lineage: Eukaryota; Viridiplantae; Streptophyta; Magnoliopsida; Solanales; Solanaceae. The record is from RNAcentral.
AGUAGGUUCUUUAUCAAUGCUAAAAGAAGAUCAGUGUUUAGGCUUCUUUCAUGUGCCUCAUCGACUAUGAUGCAUGAAAUCUUGGACAAAUUCUUGUCACCCAUAUAGUGCUGCAGUAGGCAGUGAUCUGUCAUAAAAAUUAUCUUUGAAUCAAACUGUUGACAAGACGAAUAUGAUGGAUUGCAGGUAACUGAAUUAUUAUUGUAACACCCCUGUCUUGUCACCCAUAUAGUGCUGUAGUAGGCAGUGAUCUGUCAUAAACAUUAUCUUUGAAUCAAACUGUUGACAAGACGAAUAUGAUGGAUUGCAGGUAACUGAAUUAUCAUCAUAACACCCCUG